GAGCUCAUCCUCCACCGUGAGGACGGUUCAUCCUCCACACCGUGAGUUCAUCCUGCACCGACAUCAAGCUACAGCACCACCGUGAGUUCCAGAAUCUCUGCUAUAAAUGGGGUGCAAAAUUGACUCCAUCAAAGGUGGCUAAUAAAGUGAAGCACUAUGACAAGAUAAGUGGAAGAAGUCGAGGGUUUGGCUUCGUGACGAGGAGAAGUAAGCAAAGCAGGGCCUCUGGUUGAGUAUGAGCGUAGAAUUGCCACGAGUGAUCUUGUGGAUGGGGAUAGUAGUCAGAUUACAAAAUGGCUUCUUCUUCUAGUAACAAUAGCUACUUAAGAGUGAUACCAAGAUUUUGUGAUUGUGGGAGAACAGCUG
This is a non-coding RNA of Camellia sinensis, 366 nucleotides long. Lineage: Eukaryota; Viridiplantae; Streptophyta; Magnoliopsida; Ericales; Theaceae. The record is from RefSeq and is a predicted model, not a curated record.